This 472-nucleotide ribosomal RNA is filed under the name uncultured bacterium. RNAcentral describes it as "partial 16S ribosomal RNA". It matches the Rfam family "Bacterial small subunit ribosomal RNA", at positions 28 to 507 of the family's 1533-position model. The record is from RNAcentral.
GACGAACGCUGGCGGCGUGCUUAACACAUGCAAGUCGAACGCUGAAGCUUGGUGCUUGCACUGGGUGGGUGAGUGGCGAACGGGUGAGUAAUACGUGAGUAACCUGCCCUUGACUCUGGGAUCAGCCUGGGAAACUGGGUCUAAUACUGGAUACGACAUGUCACCGCAUGGUGGUGUGUGGAAAGGGUUUUACUGGUUUUGGAUGGGCUCACGGCCUAUCAGCUUGUUGGUGGGGUAAUGGCUCACCAAGGCGACGACGGGUAGCCGGCCUGAGAGGGUGACCGGCCACACUGGGACUGAGACACGGCCCAGACUCCUACGGGAGGCAGCAGUGGGGAAUAUUGCACAAUGGGCGGAAGCCUGAUGCAGCGACGCCGCGUGAGGGAUGACGGCCUUCGGGUUGUAAACCUCUUUCAGCACGGAAGAAGCGAAAGUGACGGUACGUGCAGAAGAAGCGCCGGCUAACUACGUG